ACUGGAAUGAACGGCUAAAUGAGGACUAAACUGUCUCUUACGGACUGGCCAAUAAAAUUAAUCUUCCAGUACAAAAGCUGGAAUAAACCCAUAAGACGAGAAGACCCUGUGGAGCUUCAAAACCAAACCAUAAAACAUGCCUCCUGGUUUUUUAGUUGGGGCGACUUCGGAGCAAAAAAAAACCUCCAAAACAAAAACUUCAUUCAUCAAGAUUAACACACCAAAAAAUCAUAAAAGAUCAGCAUAUGACCCAGAACUAUUUGUCUGACCAAUGAACCAAGUUACCCCAGGGAUAACAGCGCCAUCCCCUUCUAGAGUCCCUAUCGACAAGGGGGUUUACGACCUCGAUGUUGGAUCAGGACACCCCAAUGGUGCAGCCGCCAUUAAAG
This 389-nucleotide ribosomal RNA is filed under the name Teira dugesii (Madeira wall lizard). Its description in RNAcentral is "partial 16S ribosomal RNA". It matches the Rfam family "Archaeal large subunit ribosomal RNA", at positions 2063 to 2639 of the family's 2987-position model. The record is from RNAcentral. Lineage: Eukaryota; Metazoa; Chordata; Lepidosauria; Squamata; Lacertidae.